This 371-nucleotide ribosomal RNA is filed under the name uncultured organism. Its description in RNAcentral is "partial 16S ribosomal RNA". It matches the Rfam family "Bacterial small subunit ribosomal RNA", at positions 527 to 896 of the family's 1533-position model. The record is from RNAcentral.
GUAGGUGGCAAGCGUUGUCCGGAAUUAUUGGGCGUAAAGCGCGCGCAGGCGGUUCUUCAAGUCUGAUGUGAAAGCCCACGGCUCAACCGUGGAGGGUCAUUGGAAACUGGAGAACUUGAGUACAGAAGAGGAAAGCGGAAUUCCACGUGUAGCGGUGAAAUGCGUAGAGAUGUGGAGGAACACCAGUGGCGAAGGCGGCUUUCUGGUCUGUAACUGACGCUGAGGCGCGAAAGCGUGGGGGGAGCAAACAGGAUUAGAUACCCUGGUAGUCCACGCCGUAAACGAUGAGUGUUAAGUGUUAGGGGGUUUCGCCCCUUAGUGCUGCAGCUAACGCAUUAAGCACUCCGCCUGGGAGUACGGCCGCAAGGCUG